CGAUGCACAAGCUUGACUUUUCUGUAGUGCCUCACUACAUGUUGGUCGUUGUUUGUACACUAGGCCGCCAUAAGAGAAGAUAAUUGGAAAAAAAUUACUGGAAUUUACAACACAACAGUGACAUGGUGCCAUAAAAAAAGUGAACGUUGUCCACCUUAUCACUCAACGCAGCCAUCUUAGUUACAACACAUUUUUUCAACCAGGGAUUCUUUUUCGAUAGCGAAAAAUUGGAAAUUUCUGUAAAAGAAAGUUACCAAAGCACAAUGUCUACAUCAAGGAUCUUGGGCAUUCAUGGAGUUUACGCAAAACACACCAAGUUAUAGAACCGAACAAAGAAAAAUUUAUCAUGCGACAAUGACCAGACCAUAUUAUAUUAACUUACACAAAAAAACGAACACGAAAGCCAAGAUAUUAGUUCUGUUACGAUUUAAAAUUAUUAU
This is a long non-coding RNA of Xenia sp. Carnegie-2017, 440 nucleotides long. RefSeq lists it as uncharacterized. NCBI's taxonomy places the organism in Eukaryota, Metazoa, Cnidaria, Anthozoa, Malacalcyonacea, Xeniidae. The transcript is spliced from 3 exons. The record is from RefSeq and is a predicted model, not a curated record.